This 486-nucleotide ribosomal RNA is filed under the name uncultured bacterium. RNAcentral describes it as "partial 16S ribosomal RNA". It matches the Rfam family "Bacterial small subunit ribosomal RNA", at positions 30 to 507 of the family's 1533-position model. The record is from RNAcentral.
AUUGAACGCUGGCGGCAUGCCUUACACAUGCAAGUCGAACGGCAGCACGGGUGCUUGCACCUGGUGGCGAGUGGCGAACGGGUGAGUAAUACAUCGGAACAUGUCCUGUAGUGGGGGAUAGCCCGGCGAAAGCCGGAUUAAUACCGCAUACGAACUAUGGAUGAAAGCGGGGGACCUUCGGGACUCGCGCGAUUGGGUUGGGCGGUCGCUGUUUCGCUAGUUGGUGGGGUAAAGGCCUACCAAGGCGACGAUCAGUAGGUGGUCUGAGAGGACGACCGGCCCCACUGGGACUGAGACACGGCCCAGACUCCUACGGGAGGCAGCAGUGGGGAAUUUUGGACAAUGGGCGAAAGCCUGAUCCAGCAAUGCCGCGUGUGUGAAGAAGGCCUUCGGGUUGUAAAGCACUUUUGUCCGGAAAGAAAUCCUUGGCUCUAAUACAGUCGGGGGAUGACGGUACCGGAAGAAUAAGCACCGGCUAACUACGUG